Nomia melanderi (Alkali bee) is the source of this 235-nucleotide long non-coding RNA. RefSeq lists it as uncharacterized. Lineage: Eukaryota; Metazoa; Arthropoda; Insecta; Hymenoptera; Halictidae. The record is from RefSeq and is a predicted model, not a curated record.
UGUCGAUUGUCAGUCGAGGGGCUCCCGCCGGUGAAAGGGUUGAUUGAUGCUGACUCGGCGGCUUUUAUCGCCACUUACACGGUACCCAGCCUCGAGUAAUAAUUAUCCGUACACUCCGUCGCAGCCUUCAAUUAUCUAAUCAAAAGAUGAUCCUAUGGAUUUCCCGGCUACCAAACACGAAUUCCAGCUUCGAAACAUCGAAUACCUAUAGAAACAACAUGGGAUCGCUGGAGGG